GCAAGUCGAACGGAAACGAUACUAGCUUGCUAUUAGGCGUCGAGUGGCGGACGGGUGAGUAACGCUUAGGAAUCUGCCUGAUAGUGGGGGAUAGCCCGUAGAAAUUCGGAUUAAUACCGCAUAAUCUAUUCGUAGUAAAGUGGGGGACUUUCGAGCCUCACGCUAUCAGAUGAGCCUGCGUAAGAUUAGCUAGUUGGUAGGGUAAAAGCCUACCAAGGCUACGAUCUGUAGCUGGUCUGAGAGGAUGAUC
RNAcentral lists this ribosomal RNA (250 nucleotides) under uncultured bacterium. RNAcentral describes it as "partial 16S ribosomal RNA". It matches the Rfam family "Bacterial small subunit ribosomal RNA", at positions 57 to 305 of the family's 1533-position model. The record is from RNAcentral.